Non-coding RNA from Vicia faba (fava bean), 240 nucleotides. NCBI's taxonomy places the organism in Eukaryota, Viridiplantae, Streptophyta, Magnoliopsida, Fabales, Fabaceae. The record is from the annotation of a GenBank genome assembly.
AUGCUGUUUUUGUGUUUUGCCAUUUUUAUGCAAUUCUUGGCAUUGUUUGCAGCAUCUGUGGAUUGUUUUGACAGGUUUUGUGCAGUUUUUGGACUGGUUUGGUUGUAUGACAGGUUUGGGACAACAUCUGCAAUUUUGGACAACAAGAGGUUUUGUAAUUUUGCUGCUGGUUUUCUUUUGACAUAUCUUGAAUCAGUUUGUCAUCUUGGCUUUUUGGACAACAACAUUCUUGGAGCAUAA